Molecule: long non-coding RNA, 1920 nt
Organism: Cyanistes caeruleus (blue tit)
Lineage: Eukaryota; Metazoa; Chordata; Aves; Passeriformes; Paridae
Source: Ensembl
GUUCAAAUAUAUGGAUUAGAAUUACUCUUACUCGGUGCACAACAAUUGGAAACUCAAUUGAGCUGCUCUGUUGCAGCAACAUGCUGAGGCUAUGAUAUUUAAAUAACCAAAGUACAGGGUGGAAAGAAGAAGUUAUGCAAAAUAAACAGAGUGCCAAACUAUUACUUUAUGAGCUGCUCUUCUGGGAAACAGGCUUAGUGCUGGUGAUAGUUCUUUCAGGGAAAUGAGUGUGUGGAGGGUUAAUGAUAAAACUGGAUGCAGCUGGAUGCUAUUGCCAGUAACAUUGCACACCUCUGCACUAAAUAAACUUCUGAUAGAGAAGUGCUCUUUUCUGUUUUGUUGGGGUUUUUUUGGUGUUCUUUUGGGGCUUUUUUUUUUUUUGUGUGUGUGGUUUUUUUUUUGGUUUUUUUGUUUUGUUGUUGUUGUUUUUUAUGACUUGGCUGUUGGCAAAAACCAUGAAAGGAGCCACGGCAUACACAGAAAUGAGCCACACACCACAGGGAGUCAUCUACACAUUGAGUUUGAUGGCUGAAGGAUGCUAAUGCUUUGUAUCAACAUUUCAUCACCAGCUAGUUCAUGGAUUUGAUUUCUGCACCUCAGUUUCCUGUCCUCAAAACAAGGUAAUAUCACCAUAUUCCCCACUAGAAUAGUUGUAGUAAGUGCUUCCACAUUAAUGAAACACUGGGCUACCCUCAUCAUGAACUUCUUACAAAAGCCUUUAAGAGAUUAAUCAUAGCUUCUGUUCAGAAAUAAGGUUUAAAUUGUAUGAAGUAAGUAAAGCCUUGGGUCACACACUGAAUAAUGAGGGUAAAAGAAAAUAUUGAUCAUCAUAUUGAUCACUAAGUGAGUAUCAUACAUUCAUGGCCUGUAGAGAGGCUGAGGUUCUGUGGAAAGUAUGUUGUGUAAUAGUGUAAUUAAAGAUUAUAACAUAAUGCAUAUAUAUGAGUGAUAAAACUAAAAUUGCAGUAGGAAUCUCAAAUUCAACAUUUUUGAGCAAUUGAGCACUCAACCUAAUAAGUUAUUUUAACAUAUAUUUGUGGGUAUGUACAAUAUAGGUAUAGGCAGCAUUUAAUUGUGCAUUUAAAUUAUGGACUUCAGAGAAGGAAAUUUUAAGAGUAUUUUUAAAGUGUAUUUUCUUUGUUAAAUGUGUAGCCAUAAAUGGGUCCUUCCCAACAGAACAUAACAAUGGGGUUGAAAUCAAUGGAACUAAAGUAUUAUAUCAUUGCAUCACAGAGUGAUGAAACACUCUGUGUUUCAGAGUGAAAUACAUAGGUACUAUGAAAUACUAUGAAAUACAUAGAUUCCUUAGAGAUUUUUUGACAACUGGUGGUCUGAUGCCAUGUCUUGUCACCAAAUAUAUUUUUCUCACCUUCAAACUAUAGAUUUGGUCAAAAAGAAAAACUAAAUGACAUGCAAAUUCUGCAGCCUACACAUCAGAAUUUUCCUCCAUCUAUCUAAUGUGGCCACAUAGACUGACAUCACAAGAGUCCUUCUGGGACAACGACUAUUGCGAUAAACAGGAUGAAGAUAAUUUUAAUGAGAUCUACUCGAGAUACUCUUUUUGUCUUCCACACCAUUGACAAAUAUUCAGGACUUGAACUGACAGUUUUAAUACUGCAAGAAAAUUCAUAAUUUCAGACAACCAGAUGCAGUCCCUUAGCUACUAACUAUUUUGUUGUAUCUUGAUGGAGGGAGGAGGAAAAGAAAGAACACAUGCUAAUUAUUGGCAGCUGUUGCUGUUCUUUUACUAAUUGAGUCAAAAACAUUAACACAAUAGUGAGCAGAAGAAGAGGAAAUGAAACUUUUAGAAGUCAUGCUUACCUUUGGUUAUGCAAAACCUUGAUGGAUUUUCUUUUUACUUUUUAUUUUGUUCCCACAAAAGAAAAUAAAAAUUAAAUGUAGAUCUAGAUUUUUAAAACA